CCUACGGGUGGCAGCAGUGAGGAAUAUUGGACAAUGGACGAGAGCCUGAACCAGCAAAGUAGCGUGAAGGAUGACGGCCCUAUGGGUUGUAAACUUUUUUUAUAUGGGAAUAAAAUGUUCAACGUGUGGGAUUUUGUAUGUACCAUAUGAAUAAGGAUCGGCUAACUCCGUGCCAGCAGCGGCGGUAAUACGGAGGGUCCGAGCGUUACCCGGAUUUAUUGGGUUUAAAGGGAGCGUAGGUGGAUUGUUAAGUUAGUUGUGAAAGUUUGCGGCUUAACCGUAGAAUUGCAGUUGAAACUGGCAGUCUUGAGUACAGUAGAGGUGGGCGGAAUUCGUGGUGUAGCGGUGAAAUGCUUAGAUAUCACGAAGAACUCCGGUUGCGAAGGCAGCUCACUGGACUGCAACUGACACUGAGGCUCGAAAGUGUGGGUAUCAAACAGGAUUAGAUACCCGGGUAGUC
Molecule: ribosomal RNA, 460 nt
Filed under: uncultured bacterium
Lineage: Bacteria
Description: partial 16S ribosomal RNA
Rfam family: Bacterial small subunit ribosomal RNA
Source: RNAcentral